This 1737-nucleotide long non-coding RNA is filed under the name Zea mays. RNAcentral describes it as "long non-coding RNA (ZMAY_LNC005668)". The record is from RNAcentral. Lineage: Eukaryota; Viridiplantae; Streptophyta; Magnoliopsida; Poales; Poaceae.
GAGUAUUGAGUCAUCGAUCUGGAUGCAUGGUUAUUUUCCUUUGGUGUCAGUCAACCAGGCGUGCUUGAGUUGCAUGGUUGUACCUCCCAUUUAUUCCAUGUUUGCUAUUGCAUUACACCUGUUCAUGGUUGGCAUAGUAGAAGUGUGAAGAUUGGUUGAACUGGUAUGAUGGUUUCAGAUCAAAUAAAUUAUGUUUUCAAAAUGUCAUAUGAAAAAUUUAUUAGUAGAUUAGUCACAAAAAACAUACUUCAAUAUGGUUAUACUAUAUUCACAACAAAUUCUGCUAUAAACGCCAAAGUCAAAUACCUUUACAAGAAACCAUGUUGAUAAGUUGAUAUCCUAAACAAACAAAAAGAGGGUAGUAUGUGUGUUGUGCAAUGCAUUGGGAGAACAGAUGCAUUUAUUGAUCAAUGGGCAACUCAGUUCACUGAGCAUAUUUUCAAUGAGACAUUAUAUGGUACUGUGGUGUUAAGUAUAUGAGAUGGAAACAGCACACAGUGAAAAGCUUGUUCAGGACAUUUAUACGAAAUCCAUGCUAUCAUAUUGGGCCAUUUAUUUAGUGAUUAUGAUACUUCAAACAAAUAUUACCAUUAUAUAUGAUCGGUUUGUGUCCCCCCCCCCCCCCCCCCCUAAUAUAAAAAUCGGGCAAAUCUGUUGCCAUCCUUUCGAAAACAAAUAAUCACUAAAUAAGAUACCAGGUACAUGCAGAAUAUUUUACAAAUGCCUUCCAUAGAAAUAGUACUAGGAACUGAUUUCUGAACUUUAACCGUAUGAAACAUUGGAUGGGACGAUAUAUUCGUCAGAGAAGUACCUAUAGUGGUAGAAACUAAGAGCGACAUUUUUUUGUUAUGGGAACAAAUGAAGCACAUAGGAUAAGGAAGGUACUACAGCUCCAUUUCCAAUUAAAAGGUAGGGUUCUAAUGAAGAGGAAAGCGUGCAGGUGCAGACCUGCUAGUGAACGGAGGCUGUGGCGAGGAGAAUGCCGAGCUCGAGCUGCCGAUUCGGCGCAGACGGCUGAUGCCAUCGGAGAAUGAGGGGUGGCUAUGGAGGAUUGGAGGGUGGAGAGCCGUAGACGAGGUAGCCGGCCGGAGCCGGAGAUCGGAUACUGACGUAGUAGGUCCCACGUUCUACAUCUCCCACGGCCCAACUUGAUAGCGGUAAGCGGAAACUGUCAGUGGUCUUUUUUAGUGGGCCGAAACCAUUUUCGGGACAUCCGAAUCGGUGGGCCGGAUUGGAUCGUUGGAGAAACAGCGUAAAAGGAGAGACAGCGAAGAGCCGACGAAGCCGAAGCAGAGCAAGCACGACUGCACAACGGACAGAAAAAUGGCAGGGAAAACCGGUGGACUCAAAGGGUUGCCCUCAUCGGCGGCGGCGCCAAGCCGCCAACAGCACGAUCGCAAGUUCACGGGCUUGACUCCGGGAAGACAUGUAUUUCAGUCAUUCCACAUCCAGGUCUUCGGCGACACUACCAAUGGUUGCAAGUUGCAACUCAACCGGCGCGCCGCCUUCUUUGCCUAUCAUGGUUGCUUAUUUUCUGACUUUUGCUCUCGAAUUCGGAGUAAUACUAAGAUAUACUCGCAGUUGUGUUAAAGUGUUUAAGAGGCUCAGCUGAUCUACAUCUACCAAGGUGUAUAAUUGGGUAUUAAUAUUUUGUGAACUAAGGGGGUGUUUGUUUGAGAUUAUAAUCUAUCCAAAUUAUAUAAUCUUACAACUUUUGAACUAAGAGUUAGUUCAAAA